AGACGUGGGAACAACGCAAGUCCCACUUACAACACUUAAGAACAUUCUCAUGAUGACCGUUGAACUGGAAAAACUGCUGUAGUUCCUCACUGAAUAUUGGUUGAAGACUUCAUUGGCUUACUACCUGGACUUCUCCACACACUGCCUGAAUGUCCUCCCCACAUAGCUAGAGUGAAUGAACUAAAAAAGAGAGAGAACACACACAGCCCAGAGCCCCAGCAGACCACAGGAGGUUGGCCCCAGACUCAAUGAGUGCCUGCAGCAGCCGUACAGACACAGCAUCCUUGGCCACCUCAUGCCCAUCCCGGCCAUCUAGGAUCAGCACAACCCAGAUGAGGCCGCUGAAGGGCACCGGAUGCCCAGGAAUCACCACCUGGUACCAGAAGCGGUGCCAGCCAGCAGGUCCUAUGCCCAAACACUUGGUGAGGAACACAGAGCUGCCCAGCUUCAUUCGUUGGCACAGCAACUGCAGGGUAGCCCGAGCCCCUUGGGACCCUAACUUGUCCCUUGCCAAGGCCAACUGGCUGCCGUCUGGCUGUGGGGACCACAAGGAGGGACCCACAAGCUGCUGGCGAAGUCGCUGCUUCAGUUCUGGCUUGA
Molecule: long non-coding RNA, 600 nt
Filed under: Homo sapiens (human)
Lineage: Eukaryota; Metazoa; Chordata; Mammalia; Primates; Hominidae
Description: non-protein coding lnc-PLEKHM1-9:1
Source: RNAcentral